Molecule: long non-coding RNA, 261 nt
Organism: Callorhinchus milii (elephant shark)
Lineage: Eukaryota; Metazoa; Chordata; Chondrichthyes; Chimaeriformes; Callorhinchidae
Exons: 3
Source: RefSeq, a predicted model, not a curated record
UGUUUAACUCCUUGUUUCCCAGGUGGAGAGGAAGCGACACAUCGGGAACGAUAUUGUGACAAUCGUCCUGCAGGAAGGGGAUGACGCCUCCUCGUCCUUCAAACCCUCCAUGAUCCGCUCGCACUUCACACAUAUUUUUGCCUUAGUUCGUUACAACAGAGAAAAUGAGAGCUACCGGCUGAAGAUCUUCUCAGAGGAAAGUGUUCCGCUCUUCGGUCCCCCUCUGCCCUCCCCCCCGGUCUUCACUGAUCAUCAGGAGUU